Long non-coding RNA from Bicyclus anynana (squinting bush brown), 2988 nucleotides. RefSeq lists it as uncharacterized. Lineage: Eukaryota; Metazoa; Arthropoda; Insecta; Lepidoptera; Nymphalidae. The transcript has 2 exons. The record is from RefSeq and is a predicted model, not a curated record.
CUGAUUAUGUAUCUCGACGUAUCACUUCUAACUGUGUAACGCAAAGCUAAAUGGAACACUAGAGUGUUUUUGCAAUUCCGAUUAUGUAAGACAAAAGACAGCCACAAUGCCUAGUGAUAUCGUUCUAGGCGCAAAAUUUUAUCGACAUUAUGCGACUAAAUAAAAUACACCCUUUCCCGGUACUACUUACUACGGGUGCGGCAUACUUUUGCACAUAUACGCAUUAUACUUGAUUUUGCUGUUUGUCUGUGGUGAAGUGAAGUGCCAUAGUUUCUUUGUUGGUAAACAAAGCCGUAUUAAAAUAUUAAUAAAAAAAUUGGUUUCGUUGGAUCAAAGUACUUGCUACUGCUAGUUUUUUGUUUUCAAUAGAAGUAAUUAAUUAAUCAUUUUAUCGUAUACAUUUUUAUUAGUGUUAAUAGUUAAUUUAUCAAAGUAAACGGCCACUUUUACAUAAAACAUUAUCUACACGAAAGUUCUUCAAAGUUUUAUCGUCUGCCUAUGAUUAAUUUAAUGGUCGUUGUGAUAAUAUGUAAAGUAUAUUUUAUAGUGUUUUGUAUAUUAAAGUUUAUCGCUUGCAACUAAAGAUGUCCGGGAAACUCAAUGAUCGCCAAUUGGAACUCUAAUUGGAGAUUGCAGAGUGCCACCCAAACUUGGCGAUGGGUUGUUUUGGAGGGCCUUUGGAAAGUCAGGCUACUAAAUAAACCUUCCGUGUUCGCGUCUGCCAGUGGCGUUGUAUCAACAUGAAGAUGUGGGCUCUAAACUUUGAGUGCCAGGGACUGACUAUGGAAGUCUCCAUGUCGCUGGUCACCAUUGAGGUGCAAAACACCUUGAAAAAAUUGGUGAUUCUGAAUCCUUCAUCUCUAUGAACGAUUCAUGAAGAAAGAAUUAAACAAACAUUUAAUGAACAGAUUUUUUAUAAGAUUAUUAUCAAUAAUGACAUUGCAUAUGAGAGAAAAUUGUCAAAUAUAAUUUCAUUUUAAUUUAAUAUAGUUAAUUAUGACAGCACUGUAUAUAAAGAAUAUGAUUAUUAUCAUUUGGUUAAUUUCAGUAUUACAUAGUAUUAGAUAAAAAUUUUAUUGUAAAAUUGCACAUCAAAAUAUGUUUUAUUAUCUAUUAUUAGGAGGAAAUAUUAUUUAACUAUUAUUAUUAUCCCUAAUAGCCCAGUGAAUGUGACUUCUGCCUACAAUUCCGGAGGGUGUGGGUUCGAACCCGUUCCGGGGCACGCACCUCCAACUUUUCAGUUGUGUGCAUUUUAAGAAACUAAAUAUCACGUGUCUCAAACAGUGAAGGAAAACAUCGUGAGGAAACCUGCAUACCAGAGAAUUCUCUUAAUUCUCUGCAUAUGUGAUGUCUGCCAAUGUAAUCUAAAUAUGCUGGCCCAUAUUCGGCUCCUGUCAGAAUGAGAGGGGUUAGGCAUUGGCCUUCCCUUACCUUAUCAGCCGAUAGACGUCCACUGCUGGACAUAGGCCUCUUACAUGGACCUCCAAGCACAACGACCUUGAGCCGCGAACAUCCAAACAACCGACCAACCACGCUUUCCAGUGCGGGAUCUCCCGAGUGCGGGUAGGCACCUACCCCUCUUACUGGGGGAGACUCGAGCUCAGCAGUGAGCCGAAUAUGUGUUUAUAAUGAUGAUGAUGAUGAUUAUUUAAGUAAUUGUAAAAGAAAAAAUUGAAUACUACAUUAGUUGUUUAUCUAUACAAUUCAAUAAUUUUAAGAACAAAACAUGUGCCUACCACAUUGUAGGAAAUAAAUAAAUAAUGAUUUGAUUAAAAACAAUGUUGUUUAAUGUUAAGCAGGUAGGGCCACGUAGUUCUAUAUUUGUGUAACAUCUAUUACUUAAAAAUAAAAAAUAUAUUUACUUGUGUUGGUAUUUUUUAUUCAGACUUGAUAUAUUGUUGUUGACAAAUUUUGUUAUAAUAUAUAUCUUUCAUUCUUUAGUUUAAUUUAAUCAAGAAACGACCCUACUUACACAUAUAGGUACCCCCUCUAACAAAAAUAGACUGAAGUAUAGGUAAAUAUUUAACAAAAAUGUAAAUUAAAAAUUAAUUAUAGAUUAAUUAAAAACAUGACUACAAUUUGAAUUAUCAACUUUAAUAAUUUGCUUCAAAAUAAAAACACAUACGCGUGGCGCAGUAAGUAGUGCUCCUGCAUCCACGGUCAUGGGUUCGAUUCCCACACCUGGAAAAUAUUUGUGUGAAGAGCAUGGGUUUUUUCCAGUGUGUGUGUAUUUAUACAUUAUAUAAGUAUUUAUAGGUAGUAUAUAAAUGUAAAUGAAUAUUAUAAUAUCAACUAUCUUAGUACCCACAACACAAGCUACUCUGUAUGCCUACUUUGGGGCUAGAUAGUGCUUUGUAUGGUUUAAGUAUAAAUAAUUAUACAGAAGGCUUGGUCACGAAAAAAUAUAUCCAGUCCUUUGUCUGCAUAGCUUGAGGGUUCUAGCAACUUGUUAUCAUGGUUUUGAGUGAGGAAUCCUUGGACAAUACUGCCAUCACAAGGAUUACUGUUUUCUGUAUCCAGCCCUUGAUCUAACAGCCAAGUGAAAGCUUCUUUAGGUGUUGGUUGAAACAUUGUUAAGCUCUUCACUUCUUCAAAAUUAUUAGUGAUUCUCCUAGAAAAAUAAAUCAUAAUGUAGGUAUACAUGGUACUGCCCAACAAGUUCUUAUAAAGUAGGUAUAUAAUAUACUGACCUGUGAUAAGUCUCCUCCUUCGGCUGCAUAGCUUGAGGGUUUAGGAAACCAGAGUUCAUGGUUUUGGAGUGAGGAAACAUUUUACAAUAUGCACCCAACUACAAGGCUCCACCGUAUUUCUGACACAGCAAUGUUGUGCAUAUCUUCAUGGGAUCUAGGAGCAGCUCCCAAGAUGGGGGUCAUCAUGCAAACAUUGGUCACCUGAAAGAAUUGAAGUGUGUAUUGCAAUGUAUUAUGUAUUUUGCCUACAUAAAAGUAACAGUUAUAUAUAAUUUAUAGUAUAUAAUUUAUAUUUGGA